UACGUAGGGUGCAAGCGUUAUCCGGAUUUACUGGGUGUAAAGGGCGCGUAGGCGGGAAUGCAAGUCAGAUGUGAAAUCUGUGGGCUCAACCCACAAACUGCAUUUGAAACUGUGUUUCUUGAGUGAUGGAGAGGCAAGUGGAAUUCCUAGUGUAGCGGUGAAAUGCGUAGAUAUUAGGAGGAACACCAGUGGCGAAGGCGACUUGCUGGACAUUAACUGACGCUGAGGCGCGAAAGCGUGGGGAGCAAACAGG
This 253-nucleotide ribosomal RNA is filed under the name uncultured bacterium. RNAcentral describes it as "partial 16S ribosomal RNA". It matches the Rfam family "Bacterial small subunit ribosomal RNA", at positions 524 to 776 of the family's 1533-position model. The record is from RNAcentral. RNAcentral also lists the same sequence under 1 other name.